GAACUUUCCAGAGAUGGAUUGGUGCCUUCGGGAACUGUGAGACAGGUGCUGCAUGGCUGUCGUCAGCUCGUGUUGUGAAAUGUUGGGUUAAGUCCCGCAACGAGCGCAACCCUUAUCCUUUGUUGCCAGCGGUCCGGCCGGGAACUCAAAGGAGACUGCCAGUGAUAAACUGGAGGAAGGUGGGGAUGACGUCAAGUCAUCAUGGCCCUUACGACCAGGGCUACACACGUGCUACAAUGGCGCAUACAAAGAGAAGCGACCUCGCGAGAGCAAGCGGACCUCAUAAAGUGCGUCGUAGUCCGGACUGGAGUCUGCAACUCGACUCCAUGAAGUCGGAAUCGCUAGUAAUCGUGGAUCAGAAUGCCACGGUGAAUACGUUCCCGGGCCUUGUACACACCGCCCGUCACACCAUGGGAGUGGGUUGCAAAAGAAGUAGGUAGCUUAACCUUCGGGAGGGCGCUUACCACUUUGUGAUUCAUGACUGGGGUGAAGUCGUAACAAGGUAACCGUAGGGGAACCUGCGGUUGGA
This 529-nucleotide ribosomal RNA is filed under the name Salmonella enterica subsp. arizonae. RNAcentral describes it as "bacterial SSU rRNA". It matches the Rfam family "Bacterial small subunit ribosomal RNA", at positions 993 to 1522 of the family's 1533-position model. Lineage: Bacteria; Pseudomonadati; Pseudomonadota; Gammaproteobacteria; Enterobacterales; Enterobacteriaceae. The record is from RNAcentral.